RNAcentral lists this ribosomal RNA (468 nucleotides) under uncultured bacterium. RNAcentral describes it as "partial 16S ribosomal RNA". It matches the Rfam family "Bacterial small subunit ribosomal RNA", at positions 28 to 507 of the family's 1533-position model. The record is from RNAcentral.
GACGAACGCUGGCGGCGUGCUUAACACAUGCAAGUCGAACGGAAAGGCCCUGCUUUUGUGGGGUGCUCGAGUGGCGAACGGGUGAGUAACACGUGAGUAACCUGCCCUUGACUUUGGGAUAACUUCAGGAAACUGGGGCUAAUACCGGAUAGGAGCUCCUGCUGCAUGGUGGGGGUUGGAAAGUUUCGGCGGUUGGGGAUGGACUCGCGGCUUAUCAGCUUGUUGGUGGGGUAGCGACUCACAAAGGCUUUGACGGGUAGCCUGCCUUAGAGUGUGACCAGCCACAAUGGAGCUGAGAUACGACCCAGACGCCUACGGAGGGCAGGAGUGGGGAAAGUUGCACAAUGGGCGGAAGCCUGAUACGAAGACGCCGCGUGCGGGAUAACGUGCUUCGAGUUAUAAACCGCUUUCGCAGGAGACGAAGCGUGAGUGACGGUAAUGAGUAAAGAAGCACCGGCUAACGACGUG